GACGAACGCUGGCGGCGUGCUUAACACAUGCAAGUCGAACGGAAAGGCCCUGCUUUUGUGGAGUGCUCGAGUGGCGAACGGGGGAGUAACACGUGAGUAACCUGCCCUUGACUUUGGGAUAACUUCAGGAAACUGGGGCUAAUACCGGAUAGGAGCUCCUGCUGCAUGGUGGGGGUUGGAAAGUUUCGGCGGUUGGGGAUGGACUCGCGGCUUAUCAGCUUGUUGGUGGGGUAGUGGCUUACCAAGGCUUUGACGGGUAGCCGGCCUGAGGGGGUGACCGGCCACAUUGGGACUGAGAUACGGCCCAGACUCCUACGGGAGGCAGAGGUGGGGAAUAUUGCACAAUGGGCGGAAGCCUGAUGCAGCCACGCCGCGUGCGGGAUGACGGCCUUCGGGUUGUAAACCGCUUUCGCCUGUGACGAAGCGUGAGUGACGGUAAUGGGUAAAGAAGCACCGGCUAACUACGUG
RNAcentral lists this ribosomal RNA (468 nucleotides) under uncultured bacterium. Its description in RNAcentral is "partial 16S ribosomal RNA". It matches the Rfam family "Bacterial small subunit ribosomal RNA", at positions 28 to 507 of the family's 1533-position model. The record is from RNAcentral.